Non-coding RNA from Camelus ferus (Wild Bactrian camel), 73 nucleotides. Lineage: Eukaryota; Metazoa; Chordata; Mammalia; Artiodactyla; Camelidae. The record is from Rfam.
GACUGUAUAGCUCAAGUGGCAGAGCACAUGGCUAACAUGCAUGAGGUCCUGGGUUCAAUCCCCAGUACCUCCU